GACGAACGCUGGCGGCGUGCUUAACACAUGCAAGUCGAACGGAAAGGCCCUGCUUUUGUGGGGUGCUCGAGUGGCGAACGGGUGAGUAAAACGCGAGUAACCUCCCCUUGACUGUGGGAUAACUCCAGGAAACUGGGGCUAAUACCGGAUAGGAGCUCCUGCUGCACGGGGGGGGUUGGAAAGAUUCGGCGGUGGGGGAUGGACUCGCGGGUUAUCAGCUGGUUGGUGGGGUAGGGGUUUACCAAGGUUUUGACGGGUAGCCGGCCUGGGAGGGUGACCGGCCACAUUGGGCCUACGGUAGGGCCCAGAAUGCUACGGGAGGCAGCGGUGGGGAAUUUUGCACAAUGAGCGGGAGCCUGAUGCAGCAGCGCCCCGUGCGGGAUGACGGCCUUCGGGUUGUAAACCGCUUUCGCAUGUGACGAAGCGUGAGUGACGGUAAUGGGUAAAGAAGCACCGGCUAACUACGUG
This 468-nucleotide ribosomal RNA is filed under the name uncultured bacterium. RNAcentral's name for it is "partial 16S ribosomal RNA". It matches the Rfam family "Bacterial small subunit ribosomal RNA", at positions 28 to 507 of the family's 1533-position model. The record is from RNAcentral.